RNAcentral lists this long non-coding RNA (2311 nucleotides) under Pan troglodytes (chimpanzee). RNAcentral describes it as "long non-coding RNA NONPTRT001363". Lineage: Eukaryota; Metazoa; Chordata; Mammalia; Primates; Hominidae. The record is from RNAcentral.
CAGUAAACUGGAAGCUGACGUCACUAACAAGCAUUCAGGGAGCACCAAGAAGCAGACCAGAGGUCUCCUAAGCUUGACUCCUCUUCGGCAUGAGACUAAGGAAGCUCCCCAAGUUCCAGUCAGAGCAGGCUUAUGGAAGAGUCUUGCCCUAAGAGAAAAACAGGGAUGAGGCUGGGAAGAGGAUAAAGUUAUAGCAGGAUAAAGUUAUAAGAAGAUAACAAAGCAGGAUGACAUCACAUGGGACCAAGAAGGGGGCUGCAUCAUCCCUGGACCUGCUCCUGGGGGCUGUCGGAUUGUGGGCGUGGCCGCUUUGGAUGCCCAGGUGAGCCCUGACACAGAGGUGCUUCCUCACAUUACAGUGAGGAGAGGAUGGGGCCAGUACAAAGACUGAAGAACCAGCACUCCUCCUGGGUCCGUCUUUGCUAAGUUGAGUCAUCCCAGCCCAGGCUCAGAUGAUGGGCACUGUGGACGGAGAGAGACCUGUCUUCCAGCAGGCUUCUGUGUGCGUGGCUGCUGCAGUUUCUGAGGGCUGACCCAGUUUUCUCAUCUCUGGACUUUAUACCUUCUUUGUCCCUAAAUAGACCACAACACCACUCUGUGUUCUCUGCAAGCCUGGGGCUAGGAAGCAUCGCUGAGGUAAAGGCCUUUUUUAAGGUUCUCUGCCAAUAACAAACACGUCUUCAAUUAUGAGAGCAGUACUCCAUGAUCCUGAAUCUCUGCCAACCAAAAGAAAGCUGUGCACACACUGCUGAACUUUUACAACUCUACAACUCAGAGGACAUAAGGCAUGUGUAAGCCAGCUGUAAAUCUCGUUGACAGUCUUGCCCCACCCACUGGCCACUAGGCAGCUGGAUUUCCAAUUUCACCCCGGACACGGCCAGCCUAUCAACCCUCUCUGCUUAAUGCUCUCAGUUCAUUUCUCGUCAUUUUUCUACCUCCACUCACCAGGCCACUUACCCUCCCUUCCUCCUUCCAGCUUCCUGAGCCCUACAGAGAUAACAACUAGCAGAGUGCACCAGCACGUACAUUGGAUUAUCCUUUUCAUUGUGUCUGAGCCAAUCUGCUUAAUGUUCAGAUACACAUGGGGAAAAAAAGGCAAAAUAUUUUUGUUUUAGAUCCUUUCAGAAGGCAUAAAAAAAUAAAGUACAAACACGAAUCACUUGACAAUUUUAUGAUUAAAACCAACAAAUGGAAAACAGACAGUGUUGGGUGUUGCUGACAUAAUCAAGCAUUUCGUGUGGACCCACUCAACCACCCCAUUUCUUGGAUCUAUUUCUGGAUGUACCAAAUGUGUCUGAAGAUGAACUCACUUUCGCACAUCAAAGAUGUAUCCAGUGUUAAACACCGGAGCCAGAACCCAGGUGAAAAUCUGCUGGUUCAGGGCAACACCACUUCCGGCUUUAUUAAACACUCAAAAGUCAGGUUCCCAAGAAACGCUUGGAUCUAUCCGCAAGUAUAACAUGUCAAAAGUGUUAAAUGUGACCAUGAGAAAAAUGACAUGAGCAUGUUUCAUCUUUGGGUAGAGGGUGGUGGUUUUCUGGGAAGACAUUGUCUGAGCCACCGAGUAGAGAAGUCAAAUGGAAGACGUUUAGCAUGUGCUUAAUUCUUGCUUGAUAAGAACAAGAAAUCCCGGAAAAGGUCACCCACAGAACGGUGAGCAAAGUCCCCAGUGAACAAGUUUGAGGUGGGGCUUAGCAGUUCGUUUACAGUUGUGGAAAACUGUUUUAGUCACUUGGCCAAAAACCAUAUGAGGGGAGGCAACCUGAAACCCUAGACUACUUGACUCUCCCUGCAUUUUUCUGCUAGAAGCAGGAUAAAAAGCCUAAAAUUUUGGCUGCAUCUCUAUUUAUGUAACAGCCACAGCUGCUCCCCAAAAUAGCUGCUGUUGGCCAAAAGAAUUACGGGAUUUUGUUGCUAAUAUGUGAAUCUAUAGUCAAUAGCACUCUGCUAAGUUUCCUUCCCUUCCCUUUUGCCGUCCCAGGUCUAAAAGGAGAUAGGGAAUCUCAUUAUUUGCACAUCAGUGGUGCCAUCAGUUAUGUGGAUAGAUUUUAAAAUCGAGGCUCAUCUUUUCGGCAAGAGCAAAUUGACACAGAACAUCUUAACUCUCCACCUUCUGCAGGCGGCAGUGUGGCUAAUAUCGAGGCCCUUCAAAGUCACAACUCCAAAAGAGAGAAACAUACAGUGCUCCUGUGUUUUUUGUGGGACAAACCCAGACCCGGACUGCUGGCGUGGCAUUUAAUAGGAUGCCCUCCCCUGAAAGUAACAAAGAGAACCCUCGUCAAAGCUAUCAAACACGUUAAAAAAAUACAAA